This 252-nucleotide ribosomal RNA is filed under the name uncultured prokaryote. RNAcentral describes it as "partial 16S ribosomal RNA". It matches the Rfam family "Bacterial small subunit ribosomal RNA", at positions 525 to 777 of the family's 1533-position model. The record is from RNAcentral.
ACGUAGGUGACAAGCGUUAUCCGGAAUUAUUGGGCGUAAAGCGCACGCAAGCGGUCUGUCAAGUCUGACGUGAAAUCUUCUGGUUUAACUGGGAGGGGUCGUUGGAAACUGAUGGGCUUGAGGCGAUGAGAGGGGUGCGGAAUUCCCGGUGUAGUGGUGGAAUGCGUAGAGAUCGGGAGGAACACCAGUGGCGAAGGCGGCCUGCUGGGCUGUUGCUGACGCUGAGGCGCGACAGCGUGGGAGCAAACAGGA